Molecule: long non-coding RNA, 221 nt
Organism: Aphis gossypii (cotton aphid)
Lineage: Eukaryota; Metazoa; Arthropoda; Insecta; Hemiptera; Aphididae
Exons: 3
Source: RefSeq, a predicted model, not a curated record
CAAUUUUAGCGAAUUGAAUUAUCCACGAGAGAUAAGUGAAUCUUUUGCUGAAAUGACUGAUGAUCAUGUGCUGGAAGCACAGUUUCAUCACCCACAUUUUGAAGAUGAUUCUCAAAAAAUGAAUGUCACAUUAUUUUUGAAUACUGAACACAACAAAAUUAAUAUUAACAAAAAAUGUUUUGAAGUGAUCAUGAAUCAAAUAACACAAAUCCAGAAUAAAU